UAUCGGAGAAUAAUUUCUGUCUCCCUGAUCACCUAACCUCUACUGACGAGGCUAGGAAGUUGCAGAAGC
This is an unclassified non-coding RNA of Colobus angolensis palliatus, 69 nucleotides long. The record is from Ensembl. Lineage: Eukaryota; Metazoa; Chordata; Mammalia; Primates; Cercopithecidae.